This 336-nucleotide ribosomal RNA is filed under the name Triticum aestivum (bread wheat). Its description in RNAcentral is "partial small subunit ribosomal RNA". The record is from RNAcentral. Lineage: Eukaryota; Viridiplantae; Streptophyta; Magnoliopsida; Poales; Poaceae.
AUCUCCCGGCUGAACUAUGGGAUCAUCUCUCUAAUUCCCAAGAUACCGGGAGCAUCGGACAUCAGGCAGUUUCAGCUGAUCACAUCUCUUAAUGUGAUCUUCCGGAUUCUGGCCAAGGGCUACCCCAUUAGGGCGGCCCCGAUUGCAUCACAGAUUACCCACUUGAACAAGACCUCCUUAAUUAAGGGUCGAUUUAUCCUAGAUGGUAUCCCGGUUCUUCGCGAGGUUCUCCAUGAGGUGAAGCUGAGAAACCUCAAAGCGGGUUUUUUCAGGAUUGACUUCCACAAGGCGUACGACACCAUUCAUUGGUCCUUCCUUUCGAGAAGUUCUGAUUAG